Molecule: long non-coding RNA, 5742 nt
Organism: Daphnia magna
Lineage: Eukaryota; Metazoa; Arthropoda; Branchiopoda; Diplostraca; Daphniidae
Exons: 16
Source: RefSeq, a predicted model, not a curated record
UCAACGUUUAUUCAGAAAUGGCAACCGUCGGCAUGGGACGGAGGUUGCAACGGCUCAAAUGGACUACAGUUUGUGAAAGUUGGAAAAGUUCCUCGAAAAAGUUUGGUUUUCAGUGUUCACUUUCCAUGCCUCUAGCAAUUAAAGUGAUUUAGAAACAACAUGAAAAACUCAAAAUUUUUUGUUUCGUUAAACAGAUUAACGUCACGUGAUGUUGGCCAAUGGCGACUUGCAAGUUUUGUCUGCGCAUCAAGGCGACGAGAAUCAUUUGUAUCAUUGUCGAGUUCUCGUCCAGCCCAUCAGGCAAACAAUGACCAGUUUCACUGCUGGACGAAUCAUCCUCAGUCAAGAAACCAGGACAAAGAUGGCACAAGUCAUUGUAGAAACUGUGAAUCGAAUUCGAAGUUUGGCGUGGACGAGAUUCCGUUUUACCUUGUGUUUUUCAUGGAUAUCUUCCGCAUAAAAUCAAAUGGUACAAAAGUCUAACGAUUCAGUAUGGCAAUUUGUUGUUGCCACUGGUGACAUCAGCUGCCACGCAAGAGCAUCGUGAUGGAGUGCUGGGACUUGGGCGUCAUCGCCUCAUUGGUGGCACUUUACUCAUCGCUUCCGUCGUCACCGAAGAUCAGGGCCGUUACAUUUGAUUCGUCAACAGUUCCAUUGGAUUAGUCGAAUCACGUACCGAACUCAUUUUUCGUGUCAAAUUACAAGUCAGAAUCGUUGAACGUCGUCGUCGCCGCAUAGAAUGCACAGCACAUUUAAGUCACCGAUCCAGAAACGUCCGUCACCAUCACGUGUCAUUUCUCCGGCCGGUUGUCAGUUGGCUCAAAGAUGGCCAGCGCUUCUUGGUGGGUAAUAGUGGUCGUGUUUCUUCUUCAUCCGGCGACGACGGCUACACCGAUAUGGUCCAGUUAUCCAUUUCGUCCGUCCAACGUGAAGAUGAGGGAAUAUACCAAUGCCUGGCAUCCAAUGACGAAGGAGAUUGGGCCCAAGCAUCGGCCCAGCUGGCCAUUGGAGCAUUUCCUCCUCAUUUGAAAGAAACGUUCAGUCGGCAAGUUGUACAUCCGGGAAGUUCAGUCUCGUUGAAAUGUUUGGCCUCUGGCACUCCGCUGCCUCAUUUCACUUGGACGCUGGACGGGUUUCCGUUAUCGCCCGUUUCCGAACGAUAUUUCCUCGGCCAGCAGCAACAAACGGGUCACGACGAUCUUGUAGUGGCUCAUCUCAACAUAACCCACGUCCGAGUCGAAGACGGAGGCAAUUACAAAUGUGUAUCGGAGAAUCGAGUGGGUCGCGUAGAGCAUUCAGCCAAUUUGCAUAUUUACUUCAAUUCAAUGGCAGUUUGACGAUCGAUCCGUUGGAUAAGAGCAGCGACGCCGGUCUUUAUAGUUGCGAGGUGCGUGGCCAGAACGGACUCUCGGCUCGCCAGUCACUUCAACUCAACAUCCUCGCUUUGCGAAAAUAUUGACUCGGCGCCUUUUUCUUUUCCCCCUCCGCCCUGUAAACUUGCUCGGUCGCUGAGUAUACUCUUUGAUGAUGAGAAAGUCAACAGCGCUUUUCUAUCCGGUCUGGAAGCAGAAAAAAAUUUAAAAAAAGGAAGCAAUGAAAGCAAAUGAGACAGACCGACUAUAUCGAUCCAGCAGCCAGAAGCCAAUUUAAGUCUUUCCCCUUUUAUUUUUAUGAAAAACAAGAAAAAGGAGAUGAGUUAAGUGGGUAGGAAGGAUAAAUUUAGAAAUUUCUCGACGUUUUUUUUGUUGUUGCUUCCGGUCGCCGGAAUUUUGUUAAAAAACAAAACAAAAAACACGAAAAAAAAACGAUAUUGGAUACAGAUGCGCCUCAUAUAAUGGCAAUGAGCGAUUCGGCCAUGUUGAAUGCCGGCGAGCGAUUGGCUCUUCAAUGCGCCGUAGUUAAAGGUGGAUUGCCGUUGUUCGUCAGCUGGUCGAAAGAUGGCCAAGUGAUUGCACCGACAACUGCAACGACGACGACUAGCGUCCGUUUGGUGAACGAAUUCACAGCCACGUUGACGAUUGAAUCGUUGACUGGACAACAUGGUGGAUGUGGUGGAAAUAUUUAUCAGGCUUUAGAGCAGCAUUAGCCUUUGCUAUAUCUCCACAUCAUGUAAAUGGAAAAUCUCUGGAACUUCUUGUUGAGAAAUGAAGCCAUUGUGCAUAUUGCAUCAACUAAGGGCGAAAUGUUACCACAUAUAGGCCAAUGUUACAACUCACUUAUGGUGAUUGUCCAUUCACAUGAAGUCUGUAUGUUGGUACAGUUUAUCAACAGGCAUAAGAGGAUGUUCGGGCAAUAAUUGUGGGAUAGUUUAGGUAGAUUCUUUGCUGCGUCAUAGCUCGGGAGUCGUAACGGGCAAUAUCCUUGUGCAUUAAGUUGGUGAACUCUUGUGUUCCAUUGGGUAAUGCUAUCAAAUCUUAAUGUGCUAUUUGUGAAAGAUUUUAUUAUUCUGUAUGUUUUAAAGGAAAAUAUUUCAAAUUGAUUUAUUUGCAUGUUACGGAGUUGUAUUUUUCUGAUCUGUGGAGCCUGACAUUUUCCACAAUUUCUAUCGGCGGACAAAAUGUCUUUUAGGAUUGGUAGCAGCUUACAAAGCAGUAGGUUCCAACAUCAUCUAACGUCUGCUUUAGUAAUGGCAGGGAUGUGAAUGAUAAUUUGUGAAAUCAAACAACUUAAGCAGGUGCCUAGCUCAACAACUCCUAUGAAAUCUAGAUUGGUGGUGGUAGUUCUAGGGCGCCUGUUCAGGCAACAGUUUCGUUUUUUAAUCCGCCAAGGAUUUAUGCGUUAUUGCGUCUACUGUGUAGCCUGAGUAGCAUACGCAAGGGGGCGUUUAUCUACAUUCCUGAUCACCAAGCAGUUACAAAUAUGUUCUACACUGAUAAGCAUCCGAGGCAAAGGGCGAGCUGAACUAGUCUAUUGCCCCUCAAUUCCAGAGGGCACUAGUUUACAGCAACUCGGGCUCACCCUUUGGGUAAUUUGAGAUACUUUUCUGGACGGUUCAGAAUCUUAUUAUUGGCCAAAAUUUGAUACGAGAUUAAUUGAUACUUAGUCCUGUCAGACCUCAAAUUCUACGGUUUAUAAUUCUUGUUCUAUGACCGAUUUUAUUAUUAUUUUUUUUAUACAGAGAGUGGAUUCUCAUUUCUUCUUCAUACCAGCGAGCAGAUUUGAGGUUUAAAAUUGUUUUAGGUUGUUAAGCAAGUCUGACUUUCUACGAUGUACAUGGCCGCCAAACUUUGUCGUUAUGUCUCACUGUUAAUCGGUAAUAAAAACGUCGAAUUAUUGACGAUACGUUUGUCAAAAUGGCAAAUACAACGCCUAACGAUUUAAAUCUAACUUGGGAUAAUCUACUUCUCGGACAAGGUACUUUGAGACCGGAUCUAAUUGAGUCCGCUUUCCAUAUGGCUUCUUCGCGCACGGUUGCCAUGAAGACUCGUCAUAACGAUUCCGGAAAUGGUUCGUCAAUUUCGCAUUCACGGCCGUGUAGUAGAACCUAUUAAAGACUUCCUUAAAGAUGAAGUAAGAGCCUUAGGUCGUGAGCUGGGUUUGCCCGCACAAUUACUGGAACGUUACCCGUUUCCUGGUCCCGGCUUGUCAAUUUGAAUCAUUUACGCCGAAGAGCCGUUCUUGGAAGCUAAUUUCGAUGAGACGCAAGUGAUGAUUCGUUCGAUGGUCCAUUAUGCCAACAUAGCAGCCAAGGAACAUGCCUUGCUCAAUCGGAUUGAAAUCGUGACGUCGGAAGAAGAACGUCUUGUUCUGGGAGAACUGUCUAGUCGCAACCAGUAUGUUGCCACGCUACUGCCUAUUCGCACUGUCGGUGUUCAGGUACAGGAGGUUGCAGAAAAAUGUGUCGGGUAUGGCAAACAAAGCAUAGGGAAAACCGCCACAUUUUUCUGCAAUAUACUGUACAACAGAUUCGCAAUUUAGACGUUGUCGUAAUAAUGCCGCGAUCGUAAUCAGCUCUUAUUCAAGGUAGAUGAUAGGUGCCACCGUAUCUACGCCAAGGUUUUUUUCUCUUGUCUAGAUCUUUUAAUGGCCAGUGGGUCCUUGUGAUCAUGGCCAAUGGCUUGAGCCGGAUACCAACGACUAUGGCACCUGUCGCCCUUCGCCUUGCCCAGUAAGCAAAUGCAACGGUCGCCAGAUCUACUGGAAGUCAACACUAAAUUCUGAAGGUAGCUGUUAUAAAUCGUUCACACGUGGGCCUUGCAGGCGAAGUAGCUAUUUCCUCGUUGAAGAAUAUGGCACUCGAAGAGGUCGAUUUGUUUCUCAAUUUGGAUCAUCCUAUGAAUCCUAUGUCCUUCCGUCACGCUAUCCCAGGAUGAGGAACCCUUACGACAUGAUGUACUCCAACAACGUGAUGAGCCCAUGAUCGAAAUUUGGCAUGUAUCCGCCAUUUGGCAUGCAGGAAGAUUAGCGGAGACGACUAUCCUGACAUUCCUAGUUUCGAUUACUGAACUAGAAACAGUUUUACAGAACCAUUCACAUGGUUUUGUCUCUAUUAUUUCAUUUUAAAAAUGCGAUUGCAAAUUUUCUAUUGUGACGUAUGGCGGAUAAAAAACAACCUUAAUUAGUUUUAAUGCAUGAAUUCGUUUGCCAAUAAUAUGUGUAUGAAGAAAAUGUUUUCACUUUGAAACAGAGUCAUGGAACCCAUCGGUUUCCAUGACUCUGCUUUGAAAGUUUGAACAGGGAUUUCUGUUUUACCUUUCUGCGAUGCGGCAACACAGCAUUGCAUGUCGAUCUGCGAACGUUUGACAACUCGCUGGUAUUGCAACAGGUUAAUAGUUUUGUGUCAAGUAAAUUUCAAGUGCGAGUAACUGCUGGAAGAUUGCAAGCGAAAUCUGCAUGUGUCGUGUCAUUGUUCUAAGUGUUGGAGACUUUUUUCGUUUUGAUUAGGCAUUCAUGUUUGGGAACAAUACCUGAAGUUGGAUAUCGCCUAGUGAUAUUUACAUAUUAAGUCCUAUUUUAAGACACUUGGGGCGAUACGUUUCGCAACAAAGAUCUAUACAGUACUCAAAAGAUGACCCACAAGCACUACGCCACCACGAUUGAGACAAGGUAAAACACAAAACUAUAAAGCGCCAUUUAUCAAUAAUGAAUGAAUUUCCUCAUUCUAACAAUAAUUUAAGAAAAUGUAAAUGUAUACUUAGCUGUGGUAAUUAUUUCGUUUACAUCGACUACACUUCAAUAAUUUACAAGUGGGAAAGUGUUGCCUAUAAGCAACAAGAAGGUAUUGUGCAUGUUUAUGAGCGAAUCAUGGCUUAAUGGGUGAGCAUCGGAUUGUACCGCUGGAUGUUUGUGGAUCAAAUACCAUCAAAGUUUUCUUCACCAUGACAUACUUGGAAUUUAUAUGCCAAUACGUGUAAUCCAUCAAGGACACUGAAUUUCACAACACCUGAAUGGGAUUCGAACCCAAUGUAUUGAGAAUUCCAGUCCACCGCUCUACCAUUGAGCUAUGAGACAUAUUACUGAGAAAUCUAAGUCUUCAACACAUUAAGGUAACUGUGCAAAGUUGUACAUAGGGGAUCAAAUAUCAAUGGGGGGGAUAUAGGGGGGGUUGCCAGGAAGGUAUCGCAUCCGCCUAGCAGCUCCAAGGUCCGUGGUUCGAUUCCACGGAGGUUCCCGAUGUCCUGGGCUUCCAAUCUUCCACGUCUGCCAGUCGGGUCGAGAAACUUCCCCAUUACGAAGUAAUGGGACGGAUAUUUUGGCAAUGUUUAAUAUAAUAUCCAAUAAAAAAUCUUAAUAAAUUGUUUA